Molecule: long non-coding RNA, 3331 nt
Filed under: Diabrotica virgifera virgifera (western corn rootworm)
Lineage: Eukaryota; Metazoa; Arthropoda; Insecta; Coleoptera; Chrysomelidae
Description: uncharacterized LOC126880214
Source: RNAcentral
AUUGGUCGUUAUCAUCUGAUUUUGACAUAGAUAGACCACUCUUGACCUGUGCUUAGUGGUGUGAACAGCGCUUGGCUCCGCGUUCUACGAAUACGAGGUCUUUCCUAAGUACUAACGUACCUAACCUACCCCAAAUUGUUUUUGUCUGGUUUCUCCUCUGUGGCGUUCCUAUUACCAUUUGUUUACAAUCUGUGUUUGUGUUUCCUAUUUGUAUAUAACACCUUAACCUCAAAUUUUUAAAAGUCAGGAAAAAACAGGGUUGUUAACAACGCAACUGAAUAUUUCCGUAGAUGGCGCUUCAAAAAUCCGUAGAAAUCCGUAGUGCAGAAAUCUGACAGAAAAUGACACUUGGCAGACCAAAAAAAGAAGAAGAAUGACACUUGACAGACAAAAAAGAAGAAGAAUGAUGCUUGACAGACCAAAAAAAGAAGAAGAAUGACACUUGACAGACCAAAAAGAAGAAUGGUGACACUUGAUAGACCAAAAAAGAAGAAGAAUGGCACUUGACAGACCAAAAAAGAAGAAGAAUGUUACUUGAUAGACCAAAAAAGAAGAAGAAUGACACCUUAAGCAUAGAGGUAUAUAUUAACAUAGAGGGAGCCUACCUUCCGCGCUUCCUGACGACAAGAUCUCAUGGACUGGUUUGCUGCAUCUCUUUCUAACACAUUGUAUCGAAAAUCUAUGAUGACAUUCAGUGUGAAUAUAGGUACGGAAGAGGAGGACAACUAUAGCAGCUUUACUGUGCGUAAGAGUGAAACAGCACUAAUCAAAAUAAAAAAGAUGGUGUCGUCACUUCGCUCUGAAUGACACUCUCUCUAUGCUAAUAUAUAACUCUAUGACCUUAAGAGUAAAAAAUCCUCAUUUUAGCUUCUUGAUGGCUGCAGCUGAAAAAUCCGUAGAAAUGUGGUCGAUAUCCGAAAAUCCGAAAUAAUUUCGAAAAUCCGUAGAUCUACGGAAAAAUCCGUAGAGUUAACAACCCUGGGAAAAAAUGCUACCAUCUCACGCAAAUGUCAGCGGCCCUGAUAUGGUUUAGAACCAGAUUACAUCACGGUCGCCAAUAAAUAGUGCUGGCGAAUCGCCUCGUAGCGAAGCCAUAAAAAAAGAGAAGAAGAAGAAGACAUAGAUAGACAUAUGGAUCUGGAUGAAUUUUUGUGGUUAUGUAAGUAUAUUUUUUGUCUGUCUGAUUGACACUUUCUUGUUUUUGAAAAAUUUGUUCAAGAAUGGAAAUAUGAAGACGUGGAAAGAUAUGCAGAAAGUUGAGACAAGUUAUGUAAGGUCUAGAACAGUUCACACAAAGAAACAAGAUGAUUUAUACUAUGAGUAUAGUUUUUAAUCAAUUUCAUGCUAUGAGUGUAACAGAAAUAACAAUAAUAUGCAAGGAGUAUAGAUGCUAGGAGAGUAUAUUAUAUUCAUUGAUGUGGAUAUAAGCCCAACUAUAAAAUAAUUAGGACAGAGAAACCUGUUCCAUUCAUUGUCCCUCCAGACUGAUUUGCAAACUGUGAGAUCAAGGACAGCUUUCUAUCAGUUAUGUAUUGGAAAACACAUGCUGGACAUGCUGAACCAUGCAUCUGUAAAAACUACAAGAAAAAAUGGUUGUAGAGAAAUUAAUGAGGUGCCACCCAAUAAAAUUUCAUGAGAUUCAAGAAUGUGAAGAUACAUGAGCAAUUUCAGAUGAUGCUGCAAGGUGUUUGGGAGAAAAUAAAAAGAGAAACUGAGUAAACAUUGAAUUUGAUAUUAAGAUAGUUUUUUAGCUCACAAAUGUUUUUUGUUUUGUAUCUGUAUUAAAUUUUUAUUAUACAGUAGGUACUUAGCACCCCAAUUAUCCGUGCUCCUCGUGACCGGAAGUGGCACGGAUAAUUGAAAAGCACAGAUGAUCCAAUCAUUAAUUUCUUAUACAGUGAGCACGUAAAGGUUGGAAUAAAUUCAUUUUCUCGAGAAUGGACGACUUUUGAAAAAAAUCCCAAAACAGGUCAAUUUUUAAUUUUAAAUUACGACUUUUUGGCAUAUAUAUAAUACUAGUGACUUCACCCAUCUGGGCGUGAUGACGUCAUCGAUGAUUUUUUUAAAUGAGACUAGUAGUCGUGUGAUAGCUCAUUUGAAAGGUAAUUCAAUUCUCUAUUCAGUAAUAUAAACAUUAACAUAAUUAUUUAUACAGGGUGUCCAAAAAAUUUUUUUUUGUAUUAAAUUUAUUGACAUAAAAAGAAGAAUGUAUGUAAUUUAUUUAUUUCAAAAUACAUUUUACUGCUCGCAGAAAACAGAAAAAAAUGUAUAUUUGAAAAAUAAUCAUUGCUUUUUGCUUAAAUUAAAUGUUCAAAUUGUCACGAGGCUGGUGGGUACCUGCUUUAAUAUUGAAUUUAAGCCAAAAACAAUAUUUAUUUGCCAAAAACACAUUUUUUCCUGUUUUAUGAUAGCAGUAAAAUGUAUUUUGAAUUAAAUAAAUUACACUCAUUCUUCUUUUUAUGUCAAUAAAUUUAAUUCAAAAAAAUUUUUUUUGGGCACCCUGUAUAAAUAAUUAUGUUAAUGUUUAUAUUACUGAAUAAAGAAUUGAAUUACCUUUCAAAUGAGCUAUCACACGACCCCUAUUCUCAUUUAAAAAAAACAUCGAUGACGUCAUCACGCCCAGAUGGGUGACGUAACUAGUAUGACAUAUAUGCCAAAAAGUCUUAAUUUAAAAAUAAAAAUUGACCUGUUUCGGGAUUUUUUCCCAAAAUCGUCCGUUCUUGAGAAAAUGAAUUUAUUCCAACCUUUACGUGCUCACUGUAUAUGAUUCAUAUAAGAAUAUUUCAUAAGAAUUUCUUAUGCAUGAUAUGUACUUACCUAUCAUAAAAAAAUAACAGAAAAAAUAAAUCUUUCAUUAUGAGUCUCCUUUUCUGCAUAUAGAGUUUCUGUCGAGUGAUUAAAGUGAUGCUAUUUUGAUAAAACCUUAAAAAUUCAAUUUGAGUAAUAGAAAAUCAUAGCACGGAUAAUCCGCAGCCCGGAUAAUCUGCACACGGAUCGGGGUUCUACUGUAGUUGUAUAGGCUAAUUUACAAGAAUGUUAGUUUGUUUUUAUAGAUUUUACUUGAUUCAUAAAUAUUGUGAAAUUUCUUAUAAGAUUAUAUUUACAUAUAUACGCAUACUUAAUUUAGGUCUGAAUUUUAAAGAAUUGUUAAGUAAUGAUGUUAUUUUAUAGACAACAUUAUAAUAUACUAGAGUUGUACUUUAAAAAUCAAAAUAUUACUGGGUCCCAGGCGGGGUUUAGAGGGGUUUUACCUUCGCCAUUGCACCAAUAAGAGCCUCCCCUCCUUUGAUUUCCGAGAUUUUUAAUAAAGAAUAAAAAAUUUUAAACAUUA